This 509-nucleotide ribosomal RNA is filed under the name Planktothrix geitleri AUS-JR/BS/MS/NT-073. Its description in RNAcentral is "bacterial SSU rRNA". It matches the Rfam family "Bacterial small subunit ribosomal RNA", at positions 187 to 748 of the family's 1533-position model. Lineage: Bacteria; Bacillati; Cyanobacteriota; Cyanophyceae; Oscillatoriales; Microcoleaceae. The record is from RNAcentral.
AUCAGCCGAAAGGUGAAAAGAAAUUCGCCUAGGGAUGAGCUUGCGGCUGAUUAGCUAGUUGGUGGUGUAAGGGACUACCAAGGCGACGAUCAGUAGCUGGUCUGAGAGGAUGAGCAGCCACACUGGGACUGAGACACGGCCCAGACUCCUACGGGAGGCAGCAGUGGGGAAUUUUCCGCAAUGGGCGAAAGCCUGACGGAGCAAGACCGCGUGGGGGAGGAAGGUUCUUGGAUUGUCAACCCCUUUUCUCGGGAAGAAUACAUGAGGGCCUGGAGAAUAACCUCCGCUACUCCCUGCCCCCGCCCCCGUAAUCGGAAGAAGCAGCGUUUUCGGAAUGAUUGGGCGUAAGAGUCGUAGGGGCUCCUCAGUCUUUGUCAAGCGCGAGCUUACUUCGUCAAGGCGUAGAACUGAGGAGCUAGAGACAGUAGGGGCAAAGGAAUUCUGGUGUACGGUGAAUGCGUAAGAUCGGAAAACACCGGGGCGAAGCGUCUGCUGGCUGCACUGACCUG